CAGCCGCCGCGGGAAUACAGAGGGUGCAAGCGUUAAUCGGAAUUACUGGGCGUAAAGCGCGCGUAGGUGGUUUGUUAAGUUGGAUGUGAAAUCCCCGGGCUCAACCUGGGAACUGCAUCCAAAACUGGCAAGCUAGAGUAUGGUAGAGGGUGGUGGAAUUUCCUGUGUAGCGGUGAAAUGCGUAGAUAUAGGAAGGAACACCAGUGGCGAAGGCGACCACCUGGACUGAUACUGACACUGAGGUGCGAAAGCGUGGGGAGCAAACAGGAUUAGAGACCCGCGUAGUCCCUGUCUCUUAUAU
Molecule: ribosomal RNA, 301 nt
Filed under: uncultured bacterium
Lineage: Bacteria
Description: partial 16S ribosomal RNA
Rfam family: Bacterial small subunit ribosomal RNA
Source: RNAcentral